Long non-coding RNA from Anastrepha ludens (Mexican fruit fly), 1589 nucleotides. RefSeq lists it as uncharacterized. The record is from RefSeq and is a predicted model, not a curated record. NCBI's taxonomy places the organism in Eukaryota, Metazoa, Arthropoda, Insecta, Diptera, Tephritidae. The transcript has 3 exons.
CAACGGAGCUGCUGCUGCCGCUGCCGCUGUUGCUGUUGCUUCUUUGGAAGCUACAGUUCGCCUCAACUUGAAUUGACAGCCCAAAUUCAGUUGCAGUUUGUGUUUCGUGCGCGACGGUUCGUUAGCGGUGAAAAUACGCUUUUUGGCUCACUGCCGAUUGCAAAGCAGAGAAAGCAUUGAACGGUAGAUAGACUCCACACACUCUGGUUGAGUGGUGUUGGCAUUCGCUCCAGCGCAUGUAAAUAGUUGGAGUGCGAUUGUAUGUAGUGCGACCAGUUACGUUCGGGGUUCACUUAAGUGCAGUGCGGUUUUAGUGCAAAUUUGGCAGUGAAGCAGCAGCAGCAACUGUAGCAGCGCAGCGCCAAUACCGGCGACCGGUUGAAGUUGCGUAGCCGUAGCCGUUGCAAGUGCGUUUGGUGCGUUAGUGAACGGGUGCUUAACUGCGUGCCGCACAGUGAUUGAUUGACGUCUGUCAGAUACAGUUGCAAUCGCGUGUCGCUGACAUUGUGUACACAUCAUUACGUCUGUAGCCGAUACUAGAUUGAAUGCGUUGAGUAGACGUAGUUUGCAUUCGCAGAGGCACUGUAAAAUACUCGUUAAAUUGUGAAAAAAAAAUAAAUAUUUACAUACAUACAGACACACUCGUAAAUUGCUGCUGCUGUGCAAUGCGCGUUCGGUGUUGUGCGAAAGUGAAGUGCAUUUUAUGGUUAUUCAAUACAAUUUCUAAUGAAACCUUCAAGCGAGUGGGCGCAUAAAAAUCACUGAAAAUACACAAUGAAAAAGUGCAGAUAUGCAUAAAUAAUAAGUUAAUAUUCUGUGUAUAUAGAUGCAGAUUUUAACGCAUUAUAAAGAGAAUAUAAGUGAACACAAAACUAUUGUAAAUAAAAAGACAAUUAAUUUAUACUAAAAACGGCUUAUCGAGUCUAUAAAAGCCAGCGAAUGGCCAACGGGAAAAAAGUUGCGCGAGCUUAAACUAAGACAUUAUUUUCGAUAUGCGACAGGUGCAUUAAAGCGUGAAAAGCCUCAAAAUUUUAGUAUCAACAUUUAGCUAAUUUAUAGCCAAAACAAAAACAAAAAUAGUGCGAAAUAAAUUAGUGAUGCUAAAAUAUAAAUAACCAAUGGUUAUUGGGCAAGUUUCUACAUCAUUAAAAACACAUCAGAAUAUUUGUAUGAUAGUCGAAUAAAAAACACAAUUUUGCUACAAACAUAAAAGUGAAAAAUUAAUAGUGCCAUAAAUCAGCAAGAAUCACAAAAACAAAAUAUUUAAUGAUAUUGGAUCAUAUGGAGCAUAGAUUCAAUGGUAAGUAAAAAAAGCAAACAUCUACAGAAAAAAAAAUUAAGUUAAGAAACGGAAGGGGAAAAAACACAGAAUAGAAAAAGCUGUACAAGAUGAAGCAAGUCAUUCCCCUUAAGAGAUAUGUUACUCUACAUGAAAACAUAUGUAUACAUAUACAGACGUUGUUAUACCUUCUACAUGCUUUUUAAAGUGUAAAGUAGGGUUGAACUCUUUGCGGGCGGUGGCCUGUCGAUUGUGAACUUUUCAAAAUUACUCAUUUACGCGCAACACAGCGACUUCUAUUGAAAUUAAC